CCCUUAGAUGUUCUGGGCCGCACGCGCGCUACACUGACGCAUUCAACGAGUCUAAAACCUGGUCUGAUAGGGCUGGGUAAUCUUUUGAAUGUGCGUCGUGAUUGGGAUAAAUGAUUGUAAUUCUUCAUUUUCAACGAGGAAUGCCUAGUAAACGCGAGUCAUCAGCUCGCAUUGAUUACGUCCCUGCCCUUUGUACACACCGCCCGUCGCACCUACCGAUUGAAUGGUUCGGUGAAGAUCUCGGACUUCGAUAUUUAUUCUUUAUUGAGUUUAUAUUGUGGGAAGUUAUCUAAACCUCAUCAUUUAGAGGAAGGUGAAGUCGUAACA
RNAcentral lists this ribosomal RNA (327 nucleotides) under uncultured eukaryote. RNAcentral's name for it is "partial 18S ribosomal RNA". It matches the Rfam family "Eukaryotic small subunit ribosomal RNA", at positions 1470 to 1796 of the family's 1831-position model. The record is from RNAcentral.